GGACGGGUGAGUAAUGUCUGGGAAACUGCCUGAUGGAGGGGGAUAACUACUGGAAACGGUGGCUAAUACCGCAUAACGUCGCAAGACCAAAGAGGGGGACCUUCGGGCCUCUUGCCAUCAGAUGUGCCCAGAUGGGAUUAGCUUGUUGGUGAGGUAACGGCUCACCAAGGCGACGAUCCCUAGCUGGUCUGAGAGGAUGACCAGCCACACUGGAACUGAGACACGGUCCAGACUCCUACGGGAGGCAGCAGUGGGGAAUAUUGCACAAUGGGCGCAAGCCUGAUGCAGCCAUGCCGCGUGUAUGAAGAAGGCCUUCGGGUUGUAAAGUACUUUCAGCGGGGAGGAAGGUGUUGUGGUUAAUAACCGCAGCAAUUGACGUUACCCGCAGAAGAAGCACCGGCUAACUCCGUGCCAGCAGCCGCGGUAAUACGGAGGGUGCAAGCGUUAAUCGGAAUUACUGGGCGUAAAGCGCACGCAGGCGGUCUGUCAAGUCGGAUGUGAAAUCCCCGGGCUCAACCUGGGAACUGCAUUCGAAACUGGCAGGCUUGAGUCUUGUAGAGGGGGG
RNAcentral lists this ribosomal RNA (565 nucleotides) under Salmonella enterica. RNAcentral describes it as "bacterial SSU rRNA". It matches the Rfam family "Bacterial small subunit ribosomal RNA", at positions 100 to 661 of the family's 1533-position model. Lineage: Bacteria; Pseudomonadati; Pseudomonadota; Gammaproteobacteria; Enterobacterales; Enterobacteriaceae. The record is from RNAcentral.